GGUUGACCUCGAAUCAGGUAGGAAUACCCGCUGAACUUAAGCAUAUCAAUAA
RNAcentral lists this ribosomal RNA (52 nucleotides) under Daldinia eschscholtzii. RNAcentral describes it as "partial 28S ribosomal RNA". The record is from RNAcentral. RNAcentral also lists the same sequence under 1 other name. Lineage: Eukaryota; Fungi; Ascomycota; Sordariomycetes; Xylariales; Hypoxylaceae.